Long non-coding RNA from Lagopus muta (rock ptarmigan), 10454 nucleotides. RefSeq lists it as uncharacterized. NCBI's taxonomy places the organism in Eukaryota, Metazoa, Chordata, Aves, Galliformes, Phasianidae. The record is from RefSeq and is a predicted model, not a curated record. The transcript has 2 exons.
CUGCUGGACCGUUUUUUCCCGUUGCCCGGGGCGGAGGACCUGUUGCCGCCGCCUGAGGGGGCAGCGCGGCGGGGAGAUGGGGAGCCCGCGUUCCCGCUUCUCGCCCGGAAACGCAGCGCUGCCUCCAGGCGGACAGCCGUCGGUACGGUGAGCCCCGAGCUGGGCUUGCAGCGCAGCGAGUCUGUCUGACGGCCGUCGUGUGCUGUUAGCGACUGUCAGUGCCCCGGCAGAAGGGAUACUUGUCAGUGUGAAGACACGCGCAAGAUUAGUUUGAAACCUUGCCUCAUCGGCCCCCCCUCUUUUUUUUUUUUUUUUUUUCCAAAAUAAUAAUUAUAAAUAUUAGGACGCUUGAGGGAGGAUGGAUUACAAAUGAGCCCUUCCAUAGAUGGUGAUGCUGAAGCACGAAGAGACCGAGCGCUGUGGCCAAGGGAGGGAGCGCUGCCCACAGCUCCACAGAAUCACAGAAUGGCCCGGGUGGAAGGGACCUCAAGGAUCAUGAAUCUCCAACCCCCUGCCACAGGCAGGGCCACCAACCUCCCCUUUAAUACUAGACCAGGCUGCUCAGGGCCCCAUCCAAUCUGGCCUUGAACACCUCCAGGGACGGGGCAUCCACAACCUCCCUGGGCAGCCUUUUCCAGCACCUCACCACUUUCUCUGUAAAGAACUUCCCCCUCACAUCCAACCUAAAUCUCCCCUUCUUUAACUUAAAACCAUUUUCCCUUGUCCUGCAGUUACCUACCCUUUCAAAGAGUUGAUUCCCCUCCUGUUUUAGGUUCCCUUUAGGUACUGAAAGGCUGCAAUGAGGUCACCCCGCAGCCUUCUUUUCUCCAGGCUGUACAAGCCCAGCUCCCUCAGCCAGUCUUCGUAGGGGAGGUGCUCCAGUCCUCUGAUCAUCCCAAAAUGGCUUUGAACAUCUCCAGGGAUGGGGCAUGCAAGGCUGCACCUGGCCUUAGCUUUCACAGUUUAUCAUCCCAUACACACUUCUUCUUUUGUGAUUUAUGUGUAUUUUUUCCCCACAUCAAACUGCUCUGUUUGAUGCUCACUGUUUGACUUGCUUUGGAAUUAAAUAAUGAAGGUACCAUAUGAUAGAACAGUUGAAAGAAGGAAAAAAUACAUCCGUACCAACAGCUUAUGUUAUAAAAAUGGUAAUUACCAGAACGUCUGGUAUUAAAUGAAACAGCUUCUUCAACUGAAAACAGGCAAGCGGCUUUUACAGUGCAUAUACACACUAAUGUUUGUAGUCACUCGUGUUGUUUAUGAUUACCAUAAAAAGUAAUGAAUAUUAAAAAUAUAUUUUUUUUAUGAUGAUGAACAGAAAUUAACCAGUACUUUACUGAGGAUUCAUAUUAAGGAUUUGCAUAUGUUUUGCAUCUCUUGCGGGGAUAUGGAAAGUACCACACCAGGUAGACAGUGGACUUUCUAAUUUCCUUAUAGAAAUUCAUUAACUUACUAACUUCCACCACUUCCUGCAAGAUAGCUGUGUUCAGUUGCACUCAUAUUACAAAUGAGGAAGUGAAAUACCAAGAAAGGAAGUGGUUUAACUGUAUUAUGCAGGAAUUCUGCUUGUGAAACUGAAUCCUAGCAUCUUUAGUCACCACAGUAAGCAGUCAUCCACAGGGACCUUGAAGGCUGUAGAGGGAUGACAGAGAUCUCAUGGAGUUCAACAAGUCGAAGUGCUGAGUCCUGUAUCCAGACAGGAGCAAUUCCUGGAACCACGACAUGCUGGGACCACCCAGCUGGAAAGCAGCUCUGCAAAGAAGGACCUGAGGUUGUGGCAGAGACCCCCCUCUUCUCUGUGCUGCUAAGGUUGCAUCUGGAGAACUACUGGGACUCCGGUACAAGAGAGACCUUGACAUACUGGAAACAGUGCAAUGGAGGGUCACCAAGAUGGUUGGAGAAUGGAGUGAGGAAAGGCUGAGAGGGCUGAAGCUCUUCAGCCUGGAGGAGACUCAGGGAUCUCAUCAAUGUAACUAAAUACCUGAAGGGAGGAUGCCAAGAGCAUGGAGCCAGGCUCCUUUCAGGGGUGCCAAGUGCCAGAACAAGCAGCAGUGGGCACAGACUGCAAUACAGUUUAGUUCAGAGUUCCCUCUGAAGAGCACGCAGCAUUUCUGUGCUGUGUGGGUGCUGGAGCACUGGCACAGGCUGCCCAGAGGCUGUAGAUUCUCCUCCUUGGAGGCCUCCUAAAGCUGCCUGGCUGUAGGCCCGGGCCCCAUGCUCUGGUGGCCCUGAUGAUGAGGGGAUGGGCCGAAGGGACACAGAGGGCCCUGCCAGCCUCAGCCUUCCAGUGAGUCUACAGGCUUAAGUUUUGCAACUAGAAUUUUUGUUGUGACGUUAACCUUUUGUAUUUCCUUACUGGUUAUCUACACCAAAUAUUCUAAAGUUUCACAGAAAUCACUGGUUCUGGUAUUAUGCUGCAUGUUAUAAGAUAAAAUUCUUUAAGUAGUAUAAAUAUUAUGCUUACUGUAUUACUUACACAACAAAAUAUAUUCCUAAUUUCUUAUGUUUCAGAAGAGUUCAACCACUAAGUUUAGUUGCCCACAUAUAUGUGUGUUUUGAAAAAAAAAUUGUUAUUUGCAAGCCUAUUUGCAUUAAUUUUGUCCUCUUUCUAUUCCUGGUCUUUCAAGGGAAGUGAGAAGCUUUCUGUCUCUGUCAGUUCAAGGAGGUGGGCCUUCUGCUUACUCAGGAGUUUAACAGAACAGCAUUUCCCCCAAGGAAGUAACAGAAAAGAUGCAGUUUUAUUUUAGCUGGUUUUACUUUUAUGUUCUCUUUUGCCUCAAGGUUGUGAAAUGAAAUAAAAUAAAAUAGUCCGUAAAUGAGGACUUCUUGAAUAUUCAGUAGAGUCUAAUAAGUAUACAUUUAGAUACCAAAUACAUUAUUUUAAAGUGUUCUGUGAAAAUGUAUCUCCUGAGCUCUGGUAAGGCUGCAUCUUGAGUACUGUGUUCAGUUUUGGGCCCCUCUCUACAAGAAAGACAUUGGGGCCCUGGAACAUGUUCAGAGAAGGGCAGUGAAGUUGUGCGGGGUCUGGAGCACAGAUCUUAUGGGGAGCAGCAGAGGGAGCUGGGAUUCUUCAGCCUAGAGAAGAGGAGGAUCAGGGAAGACCUCAUUGUUCUCUACAAUUACCUGAAAGGAGGUUAUAGGAAAGUGGAAAUCAGCUUCUUCUCCUGGGUAACAGUGAUAGGACGAGAGGGAAUGGCCUCAAGUUGCAUCAGGGUUCAGGUUUGAUAUUACAAAAAGCUUCUUAUCUGGGAAAGCAGCCAGGCAAUGGAACAGGAUGCCCAGGGAGGUGGUUGAGUCACUGUCCCUGGACUUGUACAAGAAACAUUUAGGUGUGGUACUAAGAAACAUGGUUUAGUGGGCAACAUUUGUGGUGGAUGGUUGGGCUAGAUAAUCUUAGAGGUCUUUUCCAACCUUAAUGAUUCCAUGAUUUACACAACUCUGUAAUGUACUCUGCGUUUUCUAUGUGCCAUUCUUGUACAAAUUAAUUACAUUUGCUGAUUUUUCUUUGCAGGAAGGUUGAAGAUGGAGGACUUUAUGAUAACUCACACAGAAUGGUCUUGGGUAUUUUUGUAAAAAAAAACAAAAAACCACCACCACUCCAACUUUGGAAUUUAAUAGAAUACAUUCUUUGUUCAAAUCCCUCCUUCUUUCUUAUGGAGAGCUUGCACUGGUUAACAUUUAGAGUUUUAUUUAGUUGCCAUACAUACUUGUCUAGUGCCAUUUGAGACGCCCAAGAGUAUUCUUGCCUGUUGCCAACUGCUGCAGGAAAAUGGUACAAGCUUAUAUAGGUUCCCUGCCACUGUACAGAGCUAACGUAUCUCUGAAUAACAGCCUUGUUAGGUUGCAUUAAGAAUCUACAUUCUGACAAAUAGGCCCUUCUUGAAUAUCAUUUACAUUGAUGAGCCUGGUCACACAGGGACUUCUUCACAUUUUAUCUGGAACUGAUUCCCUUAAAACAACCUGUAUUUGUAGGAGUUUGUCGUGCAAAUUCAUGCUGUCCAAGUACAAAAGGACAAACUAAUUCUGACAUUAUUCAUCAUUCAUUUUAUUUUGGAAAUCUGUGAACUGCGGUGAAAAUGUAGCAUCUCUUUAGAUGCCAUGUAUUUAUUUUAGCAACGGUGAGAAACUUUCUAUAAUUUCCUUAGUGUAAAUAGAAUCUGACUCAUCAUCUUCAGAGACGAGUUCAAAGUUUAGGUUUACUUCCUGGGUUUUUUUACACUUAAGACCAUGACUGAGCACUGCACCACUUGACUUACUUUGUUCAUUCUUUUGUGGAUUUUUUUCUAUCUUCACCUUUCUUCCAUAAGACCAACUGUUCUGUUGUGUUUGCUCCUAAAACAGUGUGGCAAAUCAACAUUACUCUUUCUGGUGGAAGUUACUGGGAGAAGCAGCUGAAUUCUUUUUGUAAAAAGUUAAUUUAAUAAACAUAGAAGCAUUAAAGCCCAAGUGCUAAAAUUAAAUUUGCAUAGUAUGUGAGGCCUCUCAGAGCACAAAGACCAGAAAAUUAAUAGCAGCAGUAGCUGCUUACAUGGAAAGAAAGCCAUGAGUGGAAAAAGAGCAAACUGAAAGUUCUUUGUCCUCCUUUCCAGCCCUCAGUUCUCAGAAUUUUGUUUGGCAAGGAAAGCAGGGAAUCUGUCUGACUUUCAAAUAAUUACUGACGUAUUACUCCAUUGCAGGCAAGUAGCAAAGAGCAGCUGCUUAUUGCAGCCGGAGCCAAACUCUCCCUUUGCCAUCCCCCAUUUCUUCCUGCCUUCCCUGGAGAAAACUAUCUCGCUGUUAAGUAAACUAGGAUUGGUUUGCAAGAUAUAUUAAGAUUACAUUAGAAAAAUAUUUACUUACAUAUGAAGGAGCCUUUUAAAAAAUCUUCAUUGCUUAGGAAACAAUGUGAUUUAGUGGGUAAAAAAUAAAAACAGAUUUGUUACCCUGCAGUUGUAAAGCUGCCGUCUUUUACGAGCCUGGGAAGAGUGACCUUAUUCAUUGUGAGUUUUUGCCAGUUCUGCCUCCACGCAACUAAUUCUUCUCCUGAUUCAUGGUGGGACUUAUCUGGGCCAUGUUUAAAGAGGUCUGCUGCCUGACAGUAAAGGAGUUGAUUAUGAUUUUUGGCUUAUUGACAACCUGUCCUUCACUUUUCAACAUUCCUUACAAGGUUUAACUGAAAAUCAAGAUUUCUUGAGAGAGAAAAUACCUGUUAAAAACAAACAACCAAACAAAAAAUCCAACAAGAACCACAACAACAACCUGUAAGAAAUGGAUAUCAAACCAUUUCAAUUUGUACUGAGCCUAAAGCACUGCAAUAAAAAGGUCCUUCAGCGUUCUUGUCUUCCAAUAAAUAAAUAAAUAAAUAAAUAAAUAAUCUGCAACGUUACCUGAACACUGAAAGUUCAUUUCUCCAGUUAUGGUCCACACUGAAGAUGAAUAUAAAACUGAAUUCCCAAGCACUUUUAUUCAUUAACAAACUUCCAUCAGAAAAAAAAAAGAAGUGUGUGUAUGUGUGUGUGUGUGUGUGUAGGAGUGUUGCUCAAGUUUCUCUUUAUGCAAUUCACAUGAUGACUCCCUGAAUUCCUCCUGAUACUUCAUUAGAGAUGCUGUCUUCCUCCCUUGUUAAGCACUAGUGAGUAGUUGCUGUGUUCCGCCCUGCUGUGCAGCGGUGGAGGAAGCAACCUGUCCGUGUUACUCUGUGCUCUGUGCUACGUUGAGAUGUAAGGAAUGCUAAUGACUGUGUGAAAAUUUCAUCUCUCGCAUCCAGAAGGAUACUGCAGGGUGCUGCAUAUUGCAGCUCUUGGAAUUCAUGGCUGCAGCUGUGGAGUGUAUGCAACUGAGCAUGAUAAAUCACACCAAACAAAUCUUUCUACAUUAAGAAUAUCUUUACAGUUACUGUGUACUAUUCUGUUUUGCACUUGGGUGGAAGCUUGAAGAAAUAUAUUAGGUAAUAUUUAUUUAAGUGUUAAAUGAAAUAACAAAUAAAUCCAUGACAUGACUGCAUUUACACGGAUCUGGAAUUGAUAAAUCAUCUGAUUUUCCAAUUCCAUAAUCUGGAAAUCUUUCCACGGGGAAAGAAAAACACGUAUUGAAGUGAAAAAUGUCAUAUCCUCUUACAAAGAGAACAAACAAAAGUCUUGAGAAAGAUGAAGAGUAUGACACGUCUAUUUCUAAGCCUGGCAAGUAUUCUUGAAACCCUCAACCUGAGAUUAGCUGCUAUGUUUGAGGGUUUAAGUCUACUCAUUUCAGAAAGAACGUGCUUCUGUCCUAACUGUGGUUUAAUCAAGCAAUCAUAGCUCCAUCUUUUUGUUAAAGAAGAUGGUGUCUGGUGUUUUUCUUCAUGAAACAGAGUAAAAAGACAGGCAGUUUACAUUACGAGGUUUCUCUAGCUAGCAUAGUAUGAAAGGAGCCAUCUUGUGGUUGUCUAUUCUGCAAACAAAAUGUUGCUACAGUAUUGCCUUGAAAAGCUGAAGUUACCUCUAUAGUUCUAUGCUAUAUAUACAGAACUACCUCUAUAGUUCCGUGACAAUUUUUCUUCUACCUGUUUAGAAAUGUUGCAUUUUGAGUAAAACUGUUUUCACUCAAUCUUUUUCAUUCCAUCAGAUUUCUUAUUCUACCAGGCGUUCAAUCUAGCCAAACAGAAUUAAACUUUGUAUGUUCAUUCUACGUCCUCUAUUAGUCAACCCACACCAAUAUUUACCAGUCCUCUGAGUUCUUACACCCUUUAAUUUGAACUCUAAGUUCUGCUUUAAACUGCAGUCAAUCGUAUCUCUGAAAUACGACUCUCUUAGUAGAACUGAUUCCUAAGUAAGUGACAAAUUAUUAUUUUUUUAAUAAUAUCCAUUAAGAUGUAAUCUUUGGGAACUAUGUGUAUUCCAGAUGCAAAACUGAAACAAACCAACCUUCAGAUUUGACCUGGGGAGACAACAUUUGAUAAUCAGUCUGAUAAAUGAUAAAUCAGUCUGAUUUCUUGGCCUUUUUGAUAAUACACAAUGACACUUGGAUUAAUCUUCACAAUCCUGAGCAGAUAUAGCACCCAAACCUGCCCCCAGUGCUGGAGGCGAGGCCACCCACCGCAGAGCACAGUGAGACAACGCCUCCCCUCGCCCAGUGGCAGUGCUGGGCCUGCUGCCUGCCAGGGCACUGUGGACCCUUUGCCUGCCAGGGCACACUGCUGGCUCACAUUCAACUUGCCACAGCCCCCAUAUCACUUUGCAUGGGGCUGCUCUCCAUCUUCUUGUCUUUAGUCCGUGCUUAGAUCCGAUGUUGCCUCAUCCCAGAUGCAGAAUCCAGCUCUUGCUCUUGUGGAAUUUCAUGCAGUUGGUGAUUGCCCAGCUCUCCAAUGUACCAAGAUCUCUCUGCAGAGCUUCUCUGCCCUCAAGGGAGUCAACAGCUCCUUCUCGAUGCCAUCUGCAAGCUUAUUUAGUAUACCUUCAAGAAACAUAUCCAAGUAAUUAAUAGAAACAUUGAAUAGAAUUGGACUUAAAAUGGAGCCGUGUGAAGCCCACCGCUGACAGACGUAGCCCAACCCAUCAGCCAACUAUUCACCUGUCAUGAUAUGUUUUUGCCUAGCUGUAUGCUGGACAUGUUGUCCAUCAGGAUACUGUGAGAAACAGUAUUGAAAGCUUUGCUGUCAUCCAAAAAUAUUGCACAGAAUGUCAUCCUUUCGUUGAUUGGAUCUCCUUUAGUAAAGUGAGCCUCUGUGUAUUUCUGAAGACAACCACGGCAGUGAUCAAGGUUCACAGACUGACCUCUGUCUCUGCGUAUUUGAGUGGGACUUGAAAAUUCAUUUUUUAUGCAUUUCUAUGAUAAUAUGGAUUUACUUCAGUAAAACUGAAGUCAGACUUAAGUACCAGGCUGAUGUAAUUAUACAGUUUCUUUGAUAUUAAGAAGGAUGAAAGUCAAGAACUUUUACAAUUAUGGUAUAUUGUGGAGGAGAAUAAAUACUCAUUCCAAGAAUCAUGGAAUAUAAUGAAUUUAAAACAGGAUCAAUUGUGAAAACAGACCUCUGAGAGACUUAUGUGUCCUCAUUUAACAACAGAACUGAAUUUAGUUUAUUAGAAUUAUUUGGAUUCAACUUCCAGAAAUUUCUUGUUGGGGAAUUUUGUAGUCAGAUAUAUUUUUAGUUUGAGUUUUUCUACAGAGGUCAGUAUUUCCACAUCAAUAAACAAGAAGUAGGGUAAGAUUUUCCCUGGGUAUAAAAAAAUCACUUCUGUCUACUGCUAAGGAGGCUUACAGCAGAUCAAUCAUAAUGGUACCUUCAUAAAUUUUAUGCAUGCUUUCUCUUCUGCUAGUUGGGAUUUCGUUGAUUCUACAACCAGAAAUUGUCUUAUUCAAAUGGCAAGGAAAGAACUAGAAGGAUCUGAAGGAGAAUAUUGCAAUACCCUCAUCAAUAGUAAACUACUGGCCUACUAAAAAUGAAAUGAAAUCCUUUUGGUACCUUCUCCUUUCUCCUAUGAAGAAGGGUUGAGAGAACUGGGCUAGCUUAGCUUGGAGAAGAGAAGGCUCCGGAGAGACCUCAGUGUGGCCUUCCAGUACUUGAAGGGAACAUAUGAACAGGAGGGGGUACGACUGUUUACAUGGGUUGAUACAUGGGUGAGAUAGGACAAGGGGGAAUGAUUUUAAACCGAGACAGAGAAGGUUUAGGUUGGAUAUUAGGAGAAAGUUUUCCACUCAGAGGAUGGUGAUGCACUGCAACAGGUUGCCCAAGGAGGUUGUGGAUGCCCCAUCUGUGGGGCAGGCAUCUUGUGCCUGUUUUCACUUUCUGUCACUUACUUUUCCUUCCUCUUUUUAUAAAACCUUAAUCUGAAGAAGCAUGGCAUUUUUUAUUUAUUUUUUUUAACUUUUUUUGUAGAUGGUAGACAUCAUUUGAAACAGCUGAACACUGCUGGAAGCCUGUUGAACAGCCUCACUUCUUGCAGACGUCAGCUUGUUCUUCACCGGUGUCGUCUCUUCUAUAGUAGCUGAGUUCUAGUUCAGAUCUAAUCGGAGUUGUGUUUUCAUUGACCUCCCCAAAAUAAACAGAACCAAACUGAAAUACUGCUUUGUUCAUUAGAUUGGGAAUUUUAUUAGAUAAACCUUUACCAGUGAUAACUGCUUGUCUGGACUGAAGAAAUGGCUACUUCCCAAUUUCAGCUAUGUUGUCUUUUACUGUGGAAACUUUGCCUUAUGUGCAACUUCAGAACAUUCUUCCUGUAUCUGCUAGGAAUGUUAGAAUAAUUUCUGAAAUCAUACAAUUCUGAGCAGAAAUUACCAAUACUGGCCUUAAAGCCUUUAGCAGUGUAAAACAGGAGGUUUACCUGUAAGAUCCCCAUGUAAUAGUAUUUAUUCUAGCAGAUGUCUCACCUUCCAGCUGUAGUAGCGACGUACUUAACAGUGAAAUUCAGUACCCUCACAUGCUGAUAUUCUUUUCACUGACCAUACUUUCUCUAACAAAUACACUGAUAUUUUAGGGGGAAAAGAAGAUGUGCUGCCAUUCUGAAGAUGUUUGUGAAAUUAGCCUUAGCAGGCUUUCUGGAGCAUCUUACACAGAAGCUUAAAUCACAGCCAUUAUUUAUACCAACAUUAAGUAAUUGUGUAACCCAAAGGAAUGGCAAUUUGUUAUUUUAAGCAAUCAGACAGGGCAUAAGAGACUUUCUGAUACCACAUGAUGGCAUGAUUUAAUGCUGAAAUCUUUAGUCAUACCAUGUUUAAAAAUGAUAGAUAGUGGAUAUUGAGCUCAAUGUCUAAGAUGAAUUAUCUCUUUUGAAACAGUUUUUUUUUCCCCCAUGUGGGAAAUAAUUGUUUGCCUACAACAGUAAGCAGAUGGAUUACCACACUUGCAAAACAGCCUUAACUUUCAAGUUUUGGAGAAGCUGAUGAAAUAUCCAAAUAAUUAAGAUACCAGCUUGCAUUAUAACAUGUCAAGUUUGCUUCAUUUGUUCUUAUAGAUUUUCCUGGAUAAGAUUUAUAUGUGCAGAUUAAAAAAUGCUUCAUGCUACUAUUGAGAGUAGCUUAUUGAGAGUAGCUGAAAUCCUCUUCAAAUAGCAGUUAAGUUUCUUAAAAACUUUAUUGUGUCUGGAACUAGGUCCAUAUCCACUAGGAAAAUAAAGAGGAAGACUGCUGGGUUUCCAUAGUUUUCCAGUGUUUGUAAGGCUAAAUAUUAUUUAUGUGAAUUACUCGACUGCUACAAAAGCUAUGAGUAUGGAAACGUGUAAAGAAAAGCUUACAUGUUUCUGUGAUACUUGAACCACAAAAAAUGUUUGAUAUUAAAACUGUAAUGUACUCUUGAAGUGUAUUACCACUGUAAAAAUGAACAAAAAGUUACAAAAAUGUAUGAAUUGUUGUAUGUUUGGGAAACACUUUGGGUUUUUUUCUCAAUGAAAUGCUAGGGAAAGAAGCCUGUCAGUGCAGGGGAGACCUUUGGCUCAAACAACUCCAAGUAUUAAUGCUGGGAGAAAAAGAAAAGAAAAAAAAAAAGAAAUGGAAGGAAUUCCAGG